This 799-nucleotide ribosomal RNA is filed under the name uncultured Glomeromycotina. Its description in RNAcentral is "SSU rRNA". It matches the Rfam family "Eukaryotic small subunit ribosomal RNA", at positions 314 to 1114 of the family's 1831-position model. The record is from RNAcentral. Lineage: Eukaryota; Fungi; Glomeromycota.
AUCAACUUUCGAUGGUAGGAUAGAGGCCUACCAUGGUGGUAACGGGUAACGGGGUGUUAGGGCACGACACCGGAGAGGGAGCCUGAGAAACGGCUACCACAUCCAAGGAUGGCAGCAGGCGCGCAAAUUACCCAAUCCCGACACGGGGAGGUAGUGACAAUAAAUAACAAUACGGGGUUCUUUAGGAUCUCGUAAUUGGAAUGAGUACAAUUUAAAUCUCUUAACGAGGAACAAUUGGAGGGCAAGUCUGGUGCCAGCAGCCGCGGUAAUUCCAGCUCCAAUAGCGUAUAUUAAAGUUGUUGCAGUUAAAAAGCUCGUAGUUGAAUUUCGGGGUUAGUAGGUUGGUCAUGCCUCUGGUAUGUACUGGUCUCACUGAUUCCUCCUUCCUGAUGAGCCGUAAUGCCAUUAAUUUGGUGUUGCGGGGAAUUUGGACUGUUACUUUGAAAAAAUUAGAGUGUUUAAAGCAAGCUAACGCUUGAAUACAUUAGCAUGGAAUAAUGAAAUAGGACGUUCGAUCCUAUUUUGUUGGUUUCUAGGAUUGACGUAAUGAUUAAUAGGGAUAGUUGGGGGCAUUAGUAUUCAAUUGUCAGAGGUGAAAUUCUUGGAUUUAUUGAAGACUAACUACUGCGAAAGCAUUUGCCAAGGAUGUUUUCAUUAAUCAAGAACGAAAGUUAGGGGAUCGAAGACGAUCAGAUACCGUCGUAGUCUUAACCAUAAACUAUGCCGACUAGGGAUCGGAUGAUGUUAAUUUUUUAAUGACUCAUUCGGCACCUUACGGGAAACCAAAGUGUUUGGGUUC